RNAcentral lists this long non-coding RNA (104 nucleotides) under Astyanax mexicanus (Mexican tetra). RNAcentral describes it as "lncRNA (ENSAMXG00005003625.1)". Lineage: Eukaryota; Metazoa; Chordata; Actinopteri; Characiformes; Acestrorhamphidae. The record is from RNAcentral.
GGAGUCCAGUAUUAAGAGAUCUGGACCCCACAGGACAACAAUUCCUAUGGUGAAUUUGCUGAAUCUGCUGAAUUUGAUCCACUCGUACCUCAUUCGGUAAACCC